AUUGAACGCUGGCGGCAUGCCUUACACAUGCAAGUCGAACGGUAACAGGUCUUCGGAUGCUGACGAGUGGCGAACGGGUGAGUAAUACAUCGGAACGUGCCUAGUAGUGGGGGAUAACUACUCGAAAGAGUGGCUAAUACCGCAUGAGAUCUACGGAUGAAAGCAGGGGAUCGCAAGACCUUGUGCUACUAGAGCGGCCGAUGGCAGAUUAGGUAGUUGGUGGGAUGAAAGCUUACCAAGCCGACGAUCUGUAGCUGGUCUGAGAGGACGAUCAGCCACACUGGGACUGAGACACGGCCCAGACUCCUACGGGAGGCAGCAGUGGGGAAUUUUGGACAAUGGGCGCAAGCCUGAUCCAGCAAUGCCGCGUGCAAGAUGAAGGCCUUCGGGUUGUAAACUGCUUUUGUACGGAACGAAAAGCCCCGGGUUAAUACCCUGGGGUCAUGACGGUACCGUAAGAAUAAGCACCGGCUAACUACGUGCCAGCCGCCGCCGUAA
RNAcentral lists this ribosomal RNA (498 nucleotides) under uncultured bacterium. RNAcentral's name for it is "partial 16S ribosomal RNA". It matches the Rfam family "Bacterial small subunit ribosomal RNA", at positions 30 to 523 of the family's 1533-position model. The record is from RNAcentral.